This 73-nucleotide transfer RNA is filed under the name Stegodyphus mimosarum. It matches the Rfam family "tRNA". From Rfam's summary of the family: Transfer RNA (tRNA) molecules are approximately 80 nucleotides in length. The record is from Rfam by way of RNAcentral. Lineage: Eukaryota; Metazoa; Arthropoda; Arachnida; Araneae; Eresidae.
GCCUUCGUGGUGUAAUGAUCAGCACACUCGGCGCGUAUUCCAGAAGUCCGAGGUUCGAGUCCCGGCGAGGGUA